RNAcentral lists this long non-coding RNA (675 nucleotides) under Homo sapiens (human). RNAcentral describes it as "non-protein coding lnc-TMPRSS11B-1:1". Lineage: Eukaryota; Metazoa; Chordata; Mammalia; Primates; Hominidae. The record is from RNAcentral.
ACAUUUACCAGAGAAGCACUGAUCAGGACAAAAGAAGUGCAGAACUUUUCUUUAUAUUUAUUUACUUCAACAGCCAUUAUAUCAGCACAUUAUGUAUAGGUUACCUUCAGCAAGUUGCCUUAGCUGGAAGAUUGGAACAUAUACAAUAAAAAUGUCACAAUUGUAUGAUUUCACUUUUAUUUAUUUAUUUAUUUAUUUUUGUUUAUUUUUUUAUUAUACUUUAAGUUUUAGGGUACAUGUGCACAACGUGCUAGUUUGUUACAUAUGUAUACAUGUGCCAUGUUGGCAUGCUGCUCCCAUUAACUCGUCAUUUAACAUUAGCUGCAUGCAUACUGUCACCAAGCAAAUAUAAGAGGAUGGAUGGUCCUGUGCUUAACCUAAAGGUACUCCACAAACCCACAAAAGAGCAGAAGAAACCAAGCUAUGAAAGAUCAGACAAAGAGGAAGAAAAUGCUGUUUUCAGCAACAUAUGAAAACUUUAUGUUGUUUCCAGUCCUGAUAACAACAGAGUGACAGCACAUAUAUGGCUGGUAUUCAAGGGUCCAAGAUCAAUGAAAGAAAACACAAGAAAAAGAAUUGAAAGUAUCUUACAUCAGAUGCUGAAGAACCACUCAGGAUCCUUGACUACAGAUCUGAAUUCUCUGAGGCUUAUGGGUAAGCUCAUGAUGGGAGUGG